CAGCAGCCGCGGGAAAACGGAGGGUGCAAGCGUUAAUCGGAAUUACUGGGCGUAAAGCGCACGCAGGCGGUUUGUUAAGUCAGAUGUGCAAUCCCCGGGCUCAACCUGGGAACUGCAUUUGUGACUGGCAAGCUAGAGUGUGGCAGAGGGGGGUGGAAUUCCGCGUGUAGCAGUGAAAUGCGUGGAUAUGCGGAGGAACACCGAUGGCGAAGGCAGCCCCCUGGGCCAACACUGACGCUCAUGCACGAAAGCGUGGGGAGCAAACAGGAUUAGAUACCCGAGUAGUCCCUGUCUCUUAUAC
RNAcentral lists this ribosomal RNA (301 nucleotides) under uncultured bacterium. RNAcentral's name for it is "partial 16S ribosomal RNA". It matches the Rfam family "Bacterial small subunit ribosomal RNA", at positions 509 to 807 of the family's 1533-position model. The record is from RNAcentral.